AACGUAGGUUCCGAGCGUUAUCCGGAUUUACUGGGCGUAAAGCGCGUUCAGGCGGUUUGGCAAGUCGGGCAUGAAAUCCUUCGGCUCAACCGGGGGAGGUUGUCCGAUGCUGCUGAACUGGAGGGCAGUAGAGGGUGGUGGAAUUCCGGGUGUAGUGGUGAAAUGCGUAGAGAUCCGGAGGAACACCAGUGGCGAAAGCGGCCACCUGGACUGCACCUGACGCUGAAACGCGAAAGCUAGGGGAGCGAACGGG
This 253-nucleotide ribosomal RNA is filed under the name uncultured bacterium. RNAcentral describes it as "partial 16S ribosomal RNA". It matches the Rfam family "Bacterial small subunit ribosomal RNA", at positions 524 to 776 of the family's 1533-position model. The record is from RNAcentral.